RNA transcript from Andrographis paniculata, 2148 nucleotides. It is a transcript of the gene named DNA-dependent metalloprotease WSS1, with no coding region annotated. The record is from RefSeq and is a predicted model, not a curated record. NCBI's taxonomy places the organism in Eukaryota, Viridiplantae, Streptophyta, Magnoliopsida, Lamiales, Acanthaceae. The transcript has 7 exons.
CUUAAGAGUAUGUAACGUAUCCGGCCGUAAUUUUGAAAUCCCGCCAUUUCCAGAUUCACAGGAGGCGACGAUCGGACGAGGCUUGUCGGCGGGAAACAAAUUCCGGCAGCUCAACGAAUGCGUGGAUCGGGUUUUGGAUUAGGAGUUGAAACCGAUGAAUUUGGGCGAUCUCAACAAAGUUUGGGAAAUCAAAUCGCUGAAGAGGAAACCUAAUGAAGAAGAGGCCAGAAAGAUUUUGGAAAGAAUUGCGAAGCAGGUUCAGCCAAUCAUGCGGAAGCACAAUUGGAGGGUCAAAGUUCUUUCGGAAUUCUGUCCGAAAAAUCCGGCUCUUUUGGGCUUGAAUGUGGGGCGUGGUAUACAUGUAAAAUUAAGGCUAAGGAGGGCAAACAGAGAUGAUGAAUUUAUCCCUUUUCAUCAAGUUCUUGAUACAAUGCUCCAUGAGCUAUGCCACAAUGCUCAUGGCCCUCAUAAUGCCGUUUUUUACAAACUCUGGGAUGAAAUUCGAAAGGAAUGUGAAGAUCUCAUUAACAGAGGGAUAAGUGGGUCAGGCGAAGGAUUUGAUAUUCCUGGAAGACGUUUGGGUGGAGCCUCUCGAAAGCCACUUUCUUCUCUACGCCAAGCUGCAUCGAAGGCUGCGGAAAAUAGAGCCCGUUUAGGAUCUUUAAUGCCUUCAGGACCUAAGAAAAUCGGAGGAGAUAGUUCUAUUAUGGCUGCUCUUAGUCCUGUGCAAGCUGCUGCAAUGGCAGCUGAAAGAAGAUUACAGGAUGAAAUCUGGUGUGGGUCGGAGUUCUACAAUUUAUCCGAGGAAGAUGAAUCCUUAGAUAAGGUCGACUUAUCUACAACUGCCAGCACUUCCCUUGAUGAAGAUAAUACUAAGCAAAAAUCGAGGAAAAGAGGCCGAGAAGUGGAUGAUGUUUCACUGCGCCAAUCCACUUUCGUAGAUCUUACUGAAACUGUUCCCAAUUCAUCGUCUUUCAACCGUUCAAACAAAGAAUCACUCUCUCAGAAUAAUAAAAAUAAGUUACCGGGGGAAGCUUCAUCUUCCUCUUCCAAAUCUUCUCACGAUCCAACCUGUAAUGAUCACUGCAGCCAAUGGGAAUGUACUGUGUGCACUUUGUUGAAUCCGCCGUUAGCCCCAAUCUGCGAUCUCUGUAGAAGUGAACGUCCCAAGGAGAAUAACCUGAAAACCGGAACCUGGUCCUGCAGAUUCUGUACAUUGGAAAAUGACAGGAAGAUCGAUAAAUGUGCUGUAUGCGGAUCUUGGAGGUAUUCAUAUGGUCCCCCUUUAGCUUCUUCGGCACCCAAUCGUGGUACUUGAGUUUUCAAGAAGUAUACCUGUGGGUCGAUGAAUCUCCCUUGUCGUCCCAUCCUCGAGGGUAGACGGCUACAUUGAACUCACAGUACGAAUACACGACUCUAGAAUAAGGUUUCCAUGCCCUGCCUAAGUAGAUAGGCCCCUUCCCGUUUAACGUACAGUUUACAAAUGAGAAACCCGUGUCAACAUUAGGCGACUCUCUUCCAUGAGCUGCUACGGCAUUGAUUCGUCGAGGGAGUAGGUGUGGUCAUCGCCAUACCUGAUAAAGAGAUUUUGCGUAUCCGAAAAUGAAAUCGACCAAGCCUUCGAUGUACGACUGGUAAAAGUAGUGUGUUCCGAGCUGAUCCAUGAGGGUGUCCUGUGCGCCCUCGAACCUCGUCUUGUAGAACACGCAUUUGUCGCCCUUUAUCCGCAAUGCCACUGCUUGGGAGUUUUGAGCGCCGGCUGCCGGAGGCCCCGCCGUGUUCUGGUAAGAAAUGUGCGCAAUUUUUUUAUUGUUUUUGAACGAGUUGAGGAAUUUCUGUUUUUUUUUUUAUCGGAUUUGGUUUGCGAUAGUAAAGGGAGUGUAGUUGUAGAUUUUUGCCUGAAAUGUGAUCCCGGAGGCGCAAAAGUAGUCGGAUUCUAUGGUGACGGAUGCUGAACCGAUCGUCCCGAGCAUCUGUCCUUUGUUGCCUUUGUCCGAGGCUUUGUUGUACCACGUUAUGAUCGUCGACCCCGGACGGUUUCCGUCUCCGAUGAACGAAAUGUAUGGCUUGUUACGGCCGAUGACGACCUUUUCUCUACACAGUUUUUGCAAAAACAUCUAAGCGGGCUUAAUAUACUGACUCGCUCAG